ACAGGAUUAGAUACCCUGGUAGUCCACGCCGUAAACGAUGUCGACUUGGAGGUUGUGCCCUUGAGGCGUGGCUUCCGGAGCUAACGCGUUAAGUCGACCGCCUGGGGAGUACGGCCGCAAGGUUAAAACUCAAAUGAAUUGACGGGGGCCCGCACAAGCGGUGGAGCAUGUGGUUUAAUUCGAUGCAACGCGAAGAACCUUACCUGGUCUUGACAUCCACAGAACUUUCCAGAGAUGGAUUGGUGCCUUCGGGAACUGUGAGACAGGUGCUGCAUGGCUGUCGUCAGCUCGUGUUGUGAAAUGUUGGGUUAAGUCCCGCAACGAGCGCAACCCUUAUCCUUUGUUGCCGGCGGUCCGGCCGGGAACUCAAAGGAGACUGCCAGUGAUAAACUGGAGGAAGGUGGGGAUGACGUCAAGUCAUCAUGGCCCUUACGACCAGGGCUACACACGUGCUACAAUGGCGCAUACAAAGAGAAGCGACCUCGCGAGAGCAAGCGGACCUCAUAAAGUGCGUCGUAGUCCGGAUUGGAGUCUGCAACUCGACUCCAUGAAGUCGGAAUCGCUAGUAAUCGUGGAUCAGAAUGCCACGGUGAAUACGUUCCCGGGCCUUGUACACACCGCCCGUCACACCAUGGGAGUGGGUUGCAAAAGAAGUAGGUAGCUUAACCUUCGGGAGGGCGCUUACCACUUUGUGAUUCAUGACUGGGGUGAAGUCGUAACAAGGUAACC
RNAcentral lists this ribosomal RNA (729 nucleotides) under uncultured bacterium. Its description in RNAcentral is "bacterial SSU rRNA". It matches the Rfam family "Bacterial small subunit ribosomal RNA", at positions 772 to 1501 of the family's 1533-position model. The record is from RNAcentral.